CAGUCGCCACGGGAACACGGAGGGUGCAAGCGUUAAUCGGAAUUACUGGGCGUAAAGCGCACGCAGGCGGUUUGUUAAGUCAGAUGUGAAAUCCCCGAGCUUAACUUGGGAACUGCAUUUGAAACUGGCAAGCUAGAGUCUUGUAGAGGGGGGUAGAAUUCCAGGUGUAGCGGUGAAAUGCGUAGAGAUCUGGAGGAAUACCGGUGGCGAAGGCGGCCCCCUGGACAAAGACUGACGCUCAGGUGCGAAAGCGUGGGGAGCAAACAGGAUUAGAUACCCGAGUAGUCCCUGUCUCUUAUAC
Molecule: ribosomal RNA, 301 nt
Filed under: uncultured bacterium
Lineage: Bacteria
Description: partial 16S ribosomal RNA
Rfam family: Bacterial small subunit ribosomal RNA
Source: RNAcentral